UGUCCACUUAUGGGGAUUACAGUUCCUACAUGCAAGCAGUCACUCAGUACUACUCCCAACCGGCAGCAGCCAACCAGGCCUACGCCAGCAAGGAGGUCGAUGUUUGUAAGCCUCUGGGAGUCUCUCUGCACGCUGUCAGUAAUGGUGCGGCUCCCCCGCCGGCCGUCCUGCCAGCCGCUGCCGUGCUCCCAGCCUACAGCACCCUGCCUUUAAUGCCUGGAUUCCUUGGGGCACCUCACCCAGCGGCAGCCGCUCCGAACCCUGUCACACACACACACACUGCCGCCACAGACUGGAACACCUACUACUAUAACCAGACCAGGGGCCAUAAGAGAGAGUACCCUCAGUUGGCAGUUCAGGAAGUGACAUCAUCAGAUAGUGCCUACAUAGGGCAGCACUCCCAGGGCCUGGGGGGCCAGUACGCUGACUACUUUAAGAGGAAGAGGCUCUAGUAUAAACCAAACCACCUUAAAGCCUAAAGCUUUUGGAGGAAGACACAAACAGUGUCUGCUGGAUGUCACAGCUCCCUCUAGUGGCCUUUCAGUGGCUGCCAUUUUGCAUCCCUAAAGUAGGUAUCGAGAUUAAUAGAAUUAGGGUUGCAAAUGGCUCAAGUUAAAGCAAGCCAUAGUGCUCUUUGAUCCUGGCACUUAUAUACACAAAUGCAUCCACAAAUACACACACACACACACACAUACACAAACAUGGUGUUGCUUUUGUCCUGUUAAAGCCUUAACUCUUAGGAUAUUGUUUCUGUGUCAGCUCUACUUAACUAAUAUUAACUUAGAACGUCCACUUUUUCUAGUAUAACGUUAACUAAAGUAUAUUGUAUGUGUGUGUAUAAGCUGCUUUUGUAUUUCCAGCCAGGCGAUCUGACUGUCUUAGGGCUGGGCUUACAGUCAAAAAUCUUCCUCUGCAACUCUUUUUUUUUUUUUUUUUUCAGAAGAUAAAAUCGUGUUUUGCACUCACAUGCGCUUUGAUUCGUCAGUCAAACUGACAUCUGUUUGUUCCCGCUUCAGUGUUUCUCCU
This 1026-nucleotide long non-coding RNA is filed under the name Echeneis naucrates (live sharksucker). RNAcentral's name for it is "lncRNA (ENSENLG00000009717.1)". The record is from RNAcentral. Lineage: Eukaryota; Metazoa; Chordata; Actinopteri; Carangiformes; Echeneidae.